AAUGAACGCUGGCGGCGCGCCUAAUACAUGCAAGUCGAGCGAGAAGACGUAGCAAUACGUUUGUAAAGCGGCGAACGGGUGAGGAAUACAUGGGUAACCUACCCUAGAGUGGGAAUAACUAGCCGAAAGGUUAGCUAAUACCGCGUACGCUCCUUGGACUUCGGUUCAGGGAGGAAAGCGAUGCCGAGGGUAUCGCGCUCUUGGAUGGGCUCAUGUCCUAUCAGC
This 225-nucleotide ribosomal RNA is filed under the name uncultured bacterium. RNAcentral's name for it is "partial 16S ribosomal RNA". It matches the Rfam family "Bacterial small subunit ribosomal RNA", at positions 29 to 245 of the family's 1533-position model. The record is from RNAcentral.